AACAUACCUAAACGUUGCUUCGGCGGGAACAGACGGCCCCGUGAAACGGGCCGCCCCCGCCAGAGGACCCCUAACUCUGUUUCUAUAAUGUUUCUUCUGAGUAAAACAAGCAAAUAAAUUAAAACUUUCAACAACGGAUCUCUUGGCUCUGGCAUCGAUGAAGAACGCAGCGAAAUGCGAUAAGUAAUGUGAAUUGCAGAAUUCAGUGAAUCAUCGAAUCUUUGAACGCACAUUGCGCCCGCCAGUAUUCUGGCGGGCAUGCCUGUUCGAGCGUCAUUACAACCCUCAGGCCCCCGGGCCUGGCGUUGGGGAUCGGCGGAGCCCCCCGUGGGCAGAAACCGUCCCCCAAAUACAGUGGCGGUCCCGCCGCAGCUUCCAUCGCGUAGUAGCUAACACCUCGCGACUGGAGAGCGGCGCGGCCACGCCGUAAAACACCCAACUCUUCUGAA
This 449-nucleotide unclassified non-coding RNA is filed under the name Fusarium solani. RNAcentral's name for it is "sequence contains 18S rRNA gene, ITS1, 5.8S rRNA gene, ITS2, 28S rRNA gene". The stretch from base 123 to 276 matches the Rfam family "5.8S ribosomal RNA". The record is from RNAcentral. Lineage: Eukaryota; Fungi; Ascomycota; Sordariomycetes; Hypocreales; Nectriaceae.